Molecule: non-coding RNA, 271 nt
Organism: Pelobates cultripes (western spadefoot toad)
Lineage: Eukaryota; Metazoa; Chordata; Amphibia; Anura; Pelobatidae
Source: the annotation of a GenBank genome assembly
GCACAUCUUCCUGCCCAAAACAGUUCCACAGAUUUGGGCUAUGCGACUGGUCUAUUCAUCACACCACUGACCGUGUUCGGCUAAAUUAAAAUGGCCCCCGCCACGUGUUCGCUUGUCGAAUGGCGGCCACUUCGACUACUUCAGCACUUCAGCUGCAUCCGAAGUGCCAUAGCAAGUACAGAUCUUUUCCCAGAGCAUUUAAAGGGCCAGAAACAGUCUAAUAAAAGUCCAUAAGCCCAAAUAACGUUUUUAAAGGGCAAUACAUACCAGG